CGCCUUUAGCCACACAAGUAUUAAAGGUACUGCCUGCCCAGUGAAACAUUAACUUUUAACGGCCGCGGUAUUAUAACCGUGCAAAGGUAGCGUAAUCACUUGUCCCCUAAAUAGAGACCAGUAUGAACGGCUAAAUGAGGGUGAAACUGUCUUUUAUGGCCAACCAGUGAAACUGAUCCCCUAGUACAAAAGCUAGGAUAAACUCACAAGACGAGAAGACCCUGUGGAGCUUAUAACUACACGCACUAUAACUAGCCAAACCCACCAACAGGUUACUACACCACAACUAAUAAUAGGCUAAAGUUUUAGUUGGGGCAACUUCGGAGAACAACCUAACCUCCGAGCAACAGGAUUACAAUCCACUAAAAGGGCCACAACCCCAAUAGACCAAAAAAUUGACCCAGUACCACUGAUAAACGAACCAAGUUACCCCAGGGAUAACAGCGCCAUCCUCUCCAAGAGUCCAUAUCGCCGAGAGGGUUUACGACCUCGAUGUUGGAUCAGGACACCCAAGUGGUGCAGACGCUACUAAAGGCCCGUUUGUUCAACGGCUAACGUCCU
Molecule: ribosomal RNA, 561 nt
Filed under: Hemidactylus turcicus (Mediterranean house gecko)
Lineage: Eukaryota; Metazoa; Chordata; Lepidosauria; Squamata; Gekkonidae
Description: partial 16S ribosomal RNA
Rfam family: Bacterial large subunit ribosomal RNA
Source: RNAcentral